AGGCUUGAUUAAAGAGGUCUGGAGAUGGAACAGGAUUAGACACAGCCUUUGAGGAAGCCUGAUACCAGACAUGAGGACUUCUUAUGCAGUCAGGCAUGCAAACUAUGCACAGUCAAUAAGAGAUCAGCCAGAGGCCUGCAAUACCUAUGAGACCUUGCUACAUGAGCACAGCAGAGAUACUGCCAAGCAGACUUUUGAAGCAUAACCGUAGCCCAUAAUUGGAUACAUCUAGAAGAUCCUGAUCAUUGGCCCAAACUCAGGCAUUGGGAAAUUUCAACCAGAGUACUUCCUGGAUACGCCAGGGACAAGUUUUUGCUGGAGUAUCUAUUCUACACUGCACAGUACAUGGCAAGCACUUAGGAUGAAUGGCCUUUUGAAUCUACUGCAUGUGCAAGCUGGGUUAGAGGCAAGUUAACACUUGUUUGAUACUAUCAUAUUUGUUAUCAUCAUCUGGUGUACAGUUAAGAAAGUACCUAAAAUUAUUCUCUAUUAACACCUGGCAUUUUCUGGCAGAGUAAAAUGUUGAAUUUGGCUAUUGUAAGAGCCACA
Long non-coding RNA from Gallus gallus (chicken), 549 nucleotides. RefSeq lists it as uncharacterized. NCBI's taxonomy places the organism in Eukaryota, Metazoa, Chordata, Aves, Galliformes, Phasianidae. The record is from RefSeq and is a predicted model, not a curated record. The transcript is spliced from 3 exons.